UCUCCGUUGGUGAACCAGCGGAGGGAUCAUUACCGAGUUUACAACUCCCAAACCCCAUGUGAACCUUACCACACGUUGCUUCGGCGGUCACGCCCCGGCGCCCUCUGCGGCCCGGAACCAGGCGCCCGCCGGGGACCAAAAACCAAACCAUUGUGUACCACAGCGGAAUCUCUGAGUGGCGUAAUGCAAAAAUAAAUCAAAACUUUCAACAACGGAUCUCUUGGCUCUGGCAUCGAUGAAGAACGCAGC
RNAcentral lists this unclassified non-coding RNA (249 nucleotides) under uncultured fungus. RNAcentral's name for it is "sequence contains ITS1, 5.8S rRNA gene". The stretch from base 201 to 249 matches the Rfam family "5.8S ribosomal RNA", at positions 1 to 49 of the family's 154-position model. Lineage: Eukaryota; Fungi. The record is from RNAcentral.